CCUACGGGGGGCAGCAGUGGGGAAUAUUGCACAAUGGGCGCAAGCCUGAUGCAGCCAUGCCGCGUGUGUGAAGAAGGCCUUCGGGUUGUAAAGCACUUUCAGCGGGGAGGAAGGCGUUAAGGUUAAUAACCUUGGCGAUUGACGUUACCCGCAGAAGAAGCACCGGCUAACUCCGUGCCAGCAGCCGCGGUAAUACGGAGGGUGCAAGCGUUAAUCGGAAUUACUGGGCGUAAAGCGCACGCAGGCGGUCUGUCAAGUCAGAUGUGAAACCCCCGGGCUCAACCUGGGAACUGCAUUCGAAACUGGCAGGCUAGAGUCUUGUAGAGGGGGGUAGAAUUCCAGGUGUAGCGGUGAAAUGCGUAGAGAUCUGGAGGAAUACCGGUGGCGAAGGCGGCCCCCUGGACAAAGACUGACGCUCAGGUGCGAAAGCGUGGGGAGCAAACAGGAUUAGAUACCCCAGUAGUC
This 465-nucleotide ribosomal RNA is filed under the name uncultured Klebsiella sp. Its description in RNAcentral is "bacterial SSU rRNA". It matches the Rfam family "Bacterial small subunit ribosomal RNA", at positions 338 to 795 of the family's 1533-position model. Lineage: Bacteria; Pseudomonadati; Pseudomonadota; Gammaproteobacteria; Enterobacterales; Enterobacteriaceae. The record is from RNAcentral.